GUCCAGACUCCUACGGGAGGCAGCAGUGGGGAAUAUUGCACAAUGGGGGAAACCCUGAUGCAGCGACGCCGCGUGAGUGAAGAAGUAUUUCGGUAUGUAAAGCUCUAUCAACAGGGAAGAUAAUGACGGUACCUGAGUAAGAAGCCCCGGCUAACUACGUGCCAGCAGCCGCGGUAAUACGUAGGGGGCAAGCGUUAUCCGGAUUUACUGGGUGUAAAGGGGGCGUAGACGGCAUGGCAAGUCUGAAGUGAAAGGCGGGGGCCCAACCCCCGGACUGCUCUGGAAACUGUAUGGCUGGAGUGCAGGAGAGGUAAGCGGAAUUCCUAGUGUAGCGGUGAAAUGCGUAGAUAUUAGGAGGAACACCAGUGGCGAAGGCGGCUUACUGGACUGUAACUGACGUUGAGGCUCGAAAGCGUGGGGAGCAAACAGGAUUAGAUACCCCGGUAGGC
RNAcentral lists this ribosomal RNA (449 nucleotides) under uncultured bacterium. RNAcentral's name for it is "bacterial SSU rRNA". It matches the Rfam family "Bacterial small subunit ribosomal RNA", at positions 329 to 795 of the family's 1533-position model. The record is from RNAcentral.